AACAGUGGCAAAGUUUCACAUUUAUUUAUUAUUAUUAUUAUUACUAUUUUUUGAGACAGGGUCUUGCUUUGUAGCUCAGGCUGGCCUCAAACUCGCCACCUCAGCCUCGCAAGUGCUGGGAUUACAGGCUUGUGCUACCAUGUUCAGCUUCACAUUUAUUAACGGUAGGAAAAUACAGAAGGAUAGGGGAAGAAGGGGCUCUACAGAGUGAGUUUUGGGCUGAGUAAAAAGGAAGGGAAAAAUAAAAACACACACUACAAGGGGCUGGGGAUUUAGCUCAGUGGUGCUGCCACCUGCCUCGCAAGUGCAAGGUCUGGAGUUCGAGUCCUGGUACAAAAAAAAAAUACACCAUACAGUGUAGGGUGGACUAUCUUGAAGAGUCAUGCAGGCUAAUACUUAGGUGACUGUCCCUUUUUUUUACAUUUUCCACACUGGCAUCAUAUUCAGGUCAUCCUAUCAAAAACGUGCUCGAGUUCUUGGGAGAAGUCUACAGGCAGGGUUCUGAGAAUUGUUCUGCUACGUCCCAGGGUCAUCAGGCCUUCUUUCCCAGCUAGUUUUAGCCACCCUAUCUUCCUGCCUCAAGACAGCCACAGAUUUGGUGGCUUAAAACAACACACAUUUAUUCUCUUCACUCCAGGAGAUCAGCAGUGUAGUGAUUUCCAAGGGGCUAAGGCUGUGACUCUCUCAGAUGCUCCCAUUAUGCACACUUGUUUAGUGUUACCUGAUGGAAGCCCAGUUCUACAGGUCUGCAGCCUGCGUUUUUGCCCUCUGGCUGCCUCCUGUCCUUUCUAUCUGAAAUUCCUUUCAACUUUUUUUUUGUUUCACUGAGAUAUAAUUCACUUACCUAAAAUUUAUAGUUCAGUGAUGUUUAGUAUACUCUGAGUUGUGAAACCAUCACCAUAUUCAAUUUUAAGUUUUCUUACCCCUAAAAGAAAUCUCACACCCAAGAAGAGUCACUCACCAUCUUCUCCCAACUCUAGGUGAUCACUAAUCUACUUUGUAUCUCCUCUAAUUUGCCCAUUCUGGAUGUUUCAUAUAAUCAGACGUAAUUUUUAAAAUUUUAGUAUUAUGUUAAGUUUCAUCAAUGCUGUAGCAUGGAUCAGUAAGUCAUUCCUUUUUGUUGCCAAAUAAUGUUCUAUUUAUGGUUGUAUCACAUUUAAUGCAUAUGCAUCAAUGAAUAGACAUUUGGGUUGUUUCUACUUUUGGACUGUUAUGAAUAUUAUCAUAAACAUCUGUGUACAAGUUUUAUGUGGACGUUUUCAUUUUUUUAUGUAUACCUAGGAGUAAAUCGCUGGGCUAUAUAUAAUUCCCUCCUCACAACUUUGCCUAUCAAAGUUGUAUCCAUCUUUCAGUGUUGUUCCCAUAGUGUCUCACAAGCUACCACUCAGAAGCAGUCUUCUCCCUAGAUCUCCUGUUGGAUAGUACCCCACUGAACCAUAUUCAGUUUGCUUUGAAGCUCAGUCAUUCACACAUGACUAUUACCUUUGUUAUACUGUAAAGUUGCUGUAUACCCCAAGGCAGUGGGGCAGAAACUCUACAAGUGCUUGGUGGGGAGUAAAAGUUUUAAGUUUGUAGGAACAUAUGCUUGAUCCUAUAAAAUGUGUCCAAUAUUAAAUAAUAACGUAUGCUUUCAGAUUUUUAACACAAGUAUUUGGCAAAUGACACGUGAAAUAAACAUGUGUAAGGUAAAUUGAGUUAGUUUUUAAAGGUAUUUAUUCUGAGUGUCAAAAGCCCUGUAUUCUGGAAUUUUAAUUAAGAAAAUGAGACACUGUGGUUUCAAAUUUAAUGUAAAAUUUCUAAAACAAAGUAAAAACUUCUUUUCAACGUUUUACUUCUCUCAGUUGUCAUUAUUGUCUAGUUAUGAAGUUAUAAAGGAGAUACAUGAAUAAAAGUUUUUACUCACUUUUUUAAGACAGGGUCUUGCUUUGUGGUUUAGGCUGACCUUGAACUCAUUAUGUAGCCCAGGCUGGCCUCAAACUCAUGGCGAUCCUCCUGCUUCAGCCUUCCAAGUGCUGGGAUUACAGGCAUGCGCCACCAUGCCCAGCAGGUUUUUACUCAUUUUGAAAGUAUAUC
Heterocephalus glaber (naked mole-rat) is the source of this 2073-nucleotide long non-coding RNA. The record is from Ensembl. Lineage: Eukaryota; Metazoa; Chordata; Mammalia; Rodentia; Bathyergidae.